Molecule: ribosomal RNA, 530 nt
Filed under: uncultured fungus
Lineage: Eukaryota; Fungi
Description: eukaryotic LSU rRNA
Rfam family: 5.8S ribosomal RNA (bases 187-340)
Source: RNAcentral
CAUUACCAAAACUUAGCUGUCUGGCCGCGAGGUCGUGACGCUUCAACCCUCUGUGAACCAAAAAAACAUUUCGCUUCGGCAGCCGCCCGGUCGUUAACCCGACCGCCGCUUCAGCCUGCCGGCGGCACCAAACAAAACUUGCUUUGAAAAACAUGUCUGACAACCAAAUUUUCGAAUGAAAAUUAAAACUUUCAACAACGGAUCUCUUGGUUCCCGCAUCGAUGAAGAACGCAGCGAAACGCGAUAGUUAAUGUGAAUUGCAGAAUUCAGUGAAUCAUCGAAUCUUUGAACGCACAUUGCGCCCAUCGGUAUUCCGUUGGGCAUGUCUGUUUGAGCGUCAUUACAACCCUCGACACCAGUCGGUUAUGAGCCCGGAACGGCGUCAAAACCCGCCCCGGCUUUAAAGUUGUAAGCUCUGCUGGCCGAUCCGCCUGACCGAAAACAUAGUAAACCUACUUGUUGGAGGGAGCGCGACCGGUACGGCCUGAACAAAACCUACCCAUCUCAAGGUUUGACCUCAGAUCAGAUAA